RNAcentral lists this long non-coding RNA (996 nucleotides) under Rattus norvegicus (Norway rat). Its description in RNAcentral is "long non-coding RNA NONRATT001547". Lineage: Eukaryota; Metazoa; Chordata; Mammalia; Rodentia; Muridae. The record is from RNAcentral.
GCCCCCACGUGUAGGUGGAGUGGGGGGGGGUGCCAGCAAGAGGCUUCAAACUGUGGGCUGAGAGCAGAGUGGGGUUGCACAAGUCGCAGCUGGAUGAUGGAGUCUGGGCCUACGAUGGUUAAGGGAGGGCAACUGGAGGAACAUGGAAACGGGGGAGGGGGGGAAGACUUGAGGGUGAGGAGAGCACCAGGGCUCUGCCACUAAUGUCCUAGGAUGUUGGGCAAGUCACCCACACUCCCUGGGCCUCAGUUUCUCCAUCUGUAAAAUGAUGGUAAUAAUACUUCACCUACCUCAUGGGGGAGGUUGUGAGGCCACCAUCACCUGACCAAGGGGAUCAAGGCAGGAGGGGCUCUGAAGGUGCUACCCAGAGCAAAGUUGUUGCUGACGCCUGAAAGCAAGGCCACCUGCCCGUCCACCCUACCCCACAGAGCCUCUAGGGACCGCCAGAGCCAAUCUGUCUCUUCACUGUGUCCCAACCCCCUUUAAGAGCAUCAUCUGACAUCUUGUGGGCACCCUAGACUAGUUGUUAUGUUGUUUAGGUAGCCUUUCCUGUGACCAUCUUCUUUGUGUAACUGCUAUACAAUUCCACCUGCCCCAGCACACCCCUCCACCUGCCCUCCAGCACCAGAGGCCAGGGAAGGGACAAAGGAAAACAGCCACAAAAGAAAAAAAAAAAAAAAAGCCAAGGGGACUCCCAGCUCAGCUGGAACCCCCAGGGGUGGGAACUGGUGGCGCUGUUUGUAUUGUGUUUGAGUCCUUGAGCGCAAGUGUUUUAUAAAAAAUAAAACAAAAAUCCACUAUCACAAAAAAAAAAAAGAAAAAAAUACAGCAAAGAGAACUGAAGACAAAAGGGAAAAAGAACCAUACGAUUUUUCCACCAUAUGCACCCUCUAAGCCAGCAAAAUUUUCCUCUUUGCAAAAUCAUAUUUUUGUGGGAAUGGGCCCUGCUUUUUGUGGCAAGGCCUGUUCUGAUUAAUAAAGGAUCGUGAAAAAGUA